Oryza rufipogon (brownbeard rice) is the source of this 208-nucleotide microRNA precursor. It matches the Rfam family "MIR812 microRNA precursor family". The record is from Rfam. Lineage: Eukaryota; Viridiplantae; Streptophyta; Magnoliopsida; Poales; Poaceae.
UAUAAGGGGAUUUUAAGUUUUUUUUCUUGCAACGUUUGACCACUUGUCUUAUUUAAAUUUUUUUGAAAUUAUUAAUUAUUUUAUUUGUGACUUACUUUAUUAUCUAUAGUACUUUAAGCAUAACUUUUCGUUUUUUAUAUUUGUAAAAAAAAAUUAAAUAAGAUGAGUGGUCAAACGUUGCAAGCAAAAACUGAAAAUUCCUUAUAUU